RNAcentral lists this ribosomal RNA (798 nucleotides) under uncultured bacterium. RNAcentral's name for it is "bacterial SSU rRNA". It matches the Rfam family "Bacterial small subunit ribosomal RNA", at positions 8 to 796 of the family's 1533-position model. The record is from RNAcentral.
AGAGUUUGAUCAUGGCUCAGAACGAACGCUGGCGGCGCGUUUUAAGCAUGCAAGUCGAGCGGUAGCGCACCUUCGGGUGCGUGAGAGCGGCGAACGGGUGAGUAACACGUGGGUGACCUACCCAGAGAUGGGGGAUAGCCUGUGGAAACACAGGGUAAUACCGCAUGAGGUCCACCGACCAUGGUUGGUGGAAGAAAGGCGCGAUUGCGCCGUCUCUGGAUGGGCCCGCGGCCUAUUAGCUAGUUGGCGGGGUAAAGGCCCACCAAGGCGACGAUAGGUAGCCGGCCUGAGAGGGUGAUCGGCCACACUGGAACUGAGACACGGUCCAGACUCCUACGGGAGGCAGCAGCUAAGAAUCUUCCGCAAUGGGCGAAAGCCUGACGGAGCGACGCCGCGUGGGUGAAGAAGGCGGAAACGUUGUAAAACCCUUUUCUUCGUGAGGAAUAAGGGGGAAAGGAAAUGUUCUCCUGAUGACGGUAGCGAAGGAAUAAGCCCCGGCCAAUUACGUGCCAGCAGCCGCGGUAACACGUAUGGGGCGAGCGUUGUUCGGAAUCAUUGGGCGUAAAGGGCGCGCAGGCGGUUGUACAAGUCCGGUGUGAAAGCCCACAGCUUAACUGUGGAGACGCGCUGGAAACUGUGCGACUAGAGUUCAGGAAGGGAAGCUGGAAUUCCAGGUGUAGGGGUGAAAUCUGUAGAUAUCUGGAAGAACAUCAGUGGCGAAGGCGAGCUUCUGGCCAUGAACUGACGCUGAGGCGCGAAAGCGUGGGGAGCAAACAGGAUUAGAUACCCUAGUAGUCC